This is an RNA transcript of Salvia splendens (bonfire salvia), 3531 nucleotides long. It is a transcript of the gene named putative late blight resistance protein homolog R1A-10, with no coding region annotated. The transcript has 7 exons. The record is from RefSeq and is a predicted model, not a curated record. Lineage: Eukaryota; Viridiplantae; Streptophyta; Magnoliopsida; Lamiales; Lamiaceae.
UAUCUAUCUAUCCAUCUAUUUAUCUUGCGCUCAUUUUUCCAUCUAUCUAUAAUCUAUCUAUCUAUCUAUCUUGUGCUCAGUUUUCCAGCUUGGUUUAUCUUGAUCUGCAAAAAUCUUGUCACAUAAACUUCUUAAUCUUGAUCACUAGUUUUUCCAACGUGGUUUAGUUUGAGUUGCAAAAUCUUCUCAACCUCUUAACUGUGAUCAGCAAAAAUGGCUUAUGCGGCUGUUCUUUCCCUUGCCCAAACUGCAGGAAAAAUGAUCUUGGAUCAAGAUAGAUACCCCAUUUCUCGUAAUAAGAAACAGCAAAUCCGAUCUAUCUAUGAACCAUUUAUAUUCUUGCAAGAGUUUCUUGAAGAUUUUCCAGAGAAGGCCAACAUUUUGGAUUGGCGAAUCCGAGAUCUAGCAUACGAAGCAGAAGGUGUUCUUGAGUCUUUCAUCCUGGGGGAAGCUAAAUCACAUUGGACAGUUUUGGCUUCCAAAUCCAAGUUUAAACACCAAAUGGGAAAGAUCAGAGCAGAAGCAGAUUCAAUCACAAGGGAAGUGAUGGCCAUGAAGAAUAAUAGCUCAGAUGCAGCGCAACAUGGUGAUUCUUCCGUACCAGGUUCGCCUUCUAGACUUGCUCCAGUUACCAAGAUUGACGAUGUGGUUGGUUUACAUGAAGAUUUGGAGGAAAUAAAGUCACAACUCUGUGGAGAAUCAUCCAAUUUACAAGUUAUUACAAUCGUUGGAAUGGGGGGCAUUGGUAAAACCACUCUCGCAAAGUGUGCGUACGAUGAUCCACUUACGGUGCAGCAUUUUGACAUUCGUGCUUGGGUCACAGUAUCACAAGAUUACAAUGCAGAGGCAAUCUUUUCAAGCCUCCUAGCUUCCAUGGAAGAAUUCAACACAGAAAGAUCUGAGCGGAGUAGUGAAAAUGUGUUCAAAAUCUUGAAAUACAGGAGGUAUCUCAUUGUAAUGGAUGAUAUUUGGAGUACAGGGGCUUGGGAUGAUGUAAGAUGUAUACUUCCCAAUGAUGGUAAUGGAAGCAGAGUCAUGUUAACGACUAGAGAAACUGAUGUGGCUGCUUAUGCUGAUCGUUUGAGCCCUCUUCACGAGAUGCGUUUGAUGGAUGAGGGUCAAAGCUGGAAUCUGCUUCGACAGAUGGUGUUUGCACAUCAAGAUUGUCCUCCCGAAUUGGAGAAUAUUGGGAAAGAGGUUGCGAGGUGCUGCAAAGGGCUGCCCCUCACAAUUGUGGUGGUUGCUGGGAUACUAUCCACGAUGGGCAGCAAUCUAGCUUCAUGGAAGGAAAUUGCACAAAAUGUGAGUUCUGUUACCGUAGGAGGAGGACAAUGUGAAAAGAUAUUGUCUUUGAGUUACACACAAUUGCCUCAUUAUCUGAGGUCAUGCUUCUUGUACAUGGGAGGCUUUCCAGAAGAUUAUGAGGUCUCUGCCUCAAAACUGAUCAAAUUAUGGGUAGCUGAGGGGUUCUUGAGAUGUCCGAAGGGAUCUAAAACCUUGGAAGAAGAGGCCGAAGAGUGUUUGGAGGAUCUUGUCAAGAGAAAUCUUGUUUUGGUUACCAAGAGAAAGUGUGAUGGAAGGAUCAAAAGCUGCAGCCUCCAUGAUCUGAUGCGAGAUUUGUGCAUAAAGAAAGCACAUGAAGAGAAGUUUCUUAUGAAUUUCAGUAGCCGGAUUGUGACAAACCUCAUUUCAGUAGAGGCCAAACACAAUCAGCGCCGUGUAAGUCUAACUCCUUCGGGUCUACCAUACUUUUCAAAAAUAUACUGUUUAAGUACCAUCCAUACGAUUUUGUGCUUCCAUGGCAUUUCAGUAGCAAGAGCGUUGGAAAGAUUUAGAUUAUUGAGGGUGUUAGAUGCAAGAGAUGUUUAUGUUUCAUCAUUACCAGAUGAAAUAUUCGACCUGUUUCAUCUGGUAUACCUUGCUAUCUACUAUCGUCUAAGUCUUCCCUCAGCAAUUUCAAAGCUUCGUAGUCUUCAAACUUUACACCUUCGUGCAAAGAACGAAUGGAAGCUUUUUAAAUCCCAUUGUGUCUGUUUGCCACCGGAAAUUUGGAUGAUGCCACAGUUAAGACAUCUUGUCUUCAAUGGCAGGUUACCUGAUCCAGAAGGAAGAACAACUACUGUUCUAGAUAACCUCCAAACACUUUCUAUAGUGUCACAUUCCAUGUGUAGUGAAAGGAUUUUGAGAAUGAUCAGAAACCUAAAGAAAUUAGAGAUUGAUUGCAUGGAUAGUCGUCCAGGUGACAUUUAUCUUAACAAUUUAGUACAUCUUCGUAGACUUGAAGAUUUGAAGUUACGUUCAUCCUUUGGUGGUGAAUUUUGCCAAAAGGAUAUAUUUACCUUUCCUAGGAUGCUUAAAAGGCUGACCUUAAGUCGUAUGGCAUUUCCUUGGGACAAGAUGACAAUUGUUGGUUCGUUGCCAAAUCUUCGAGUGCUGAAACUAACUCAUCAGGCUUGCAAAGGCAACAGAUGGGAAACAACUGAAGGAGAGUUCCCUCUUUUGGAACAUCUGCUAAUAGAAAAGUCAGAUCUCUCGCUCUGGAUAACUGAAAGUAGCCACUUCCCGAUGCUGAAGCGCCUGGUGCUCAAUGACUGUUGGCAGCUUGCUGAGAUACCUGAAGAUAUCGGAGAAAUUUCAACCCUUGAGCUGAUUGAGGUGAAGGGAAAAGCAGUGAUGUCACUUGUGGAUUCAGUCAAGCAGAUUCUAGAGAUACAACGAGGAUGGGGAAAUGACGCCCUUCAAGUUCGUUGCAUGACUCAUCGCUGAAUCUGCUGGUGAUCAGGUCCUUAAAACAAGAGACUGCAUCAACGGGAAGAGAGGGAUCCAUUUGGUGAUGUAACCGUAAGACUUCGGAGGUGUUCGAGAAAAUGCCAGAAAAAUAAGUGCCCAGCAGGUGUUCGAGGAAUUGCCACCAAGUCAAAGGACAGAGAGGAGGAACAUGAAUGUUUGGGGAUUGAAAUUAGCUCACUCCUCCCCAGAUAAUCAAGGCAUACAGUUGAAGGAAGAGGUAUUUUCGCUGGCGUCAAUCUAUAUAUUUCAUUCAACGGUCGUUAUUUGUGUGGUGUUCGAGAAAAUGCCAGAUAAGGAGUUGAGGCUCCGUGUACCCAGGGUCGAACACGCGACCACCUGGGAAAGGGACACGGAUAUCCAGCGGCGACCACCUGGGAAAGGGACACGGAUAUCCAGCGCUGGUUGCCACUAGAGCAACUUGGCUUGGAUUCCGUGUACCCAGUAGGUGUUGGAGGAAUUGCAUUGAGUUAAAGGACACAGAGGAGGAACAUGAAUGUUUGGGGAUUGAUAUGAGCUCACUCCUCCCCAGACGCAUCAGCAUCAUCUAGAGGGAAGCCAACAAUAUCAUCAACUGGUUCAAGUGUAUAAGAUGAAGUGGCUUCAUUGCUAGCAUUCUUGAAUCAAUAUCAUUUCUUGUCUUGUUCAAGUGGUGUAUAAACUGUAUUUUAGACUUCCAACUUGGCCAACUCUGCUGGUAACAAUCUCCACUUUUUCUCUAAAAUGACGAUGAGUUUUCUCCCA